CCUGACUUCCAUAGGAGGUCCAGCCUGCCCAGUGACAAAGUUAAACGGCCGCGGUACCCUAACCGUGCGAAGGUAGCGCAAUCACUUGUUCUUUAAAUGAGGACUAGUAUGAAUGGCAUCACGAGGGUUUCACUGUCUCCCCCUUUUAAUCAAUGAAACUGAUCUUCCCGUGAAGAAGCGGGAAUAAACAUAUAAGACGAGAAGACCCCAUGGAGCUUUAAACCCAGUAUCAACUACACUUUCUACACCACACAAGAUUAGUAGACAUGACACCUGGUUUUCGGUUGGGGUGACCACGGAGCAAAACAAAACCUCCAUGAUGAAAGGAAUUUAUUCCUAAUCUAAGAGCCACAGCUCAAAGAAUCAACAAACUGACAUUAAUUGACCCAAAUUAUUUUGAUCAACGAAC
This 409-nucleotide ribosomal RNA is filed under the name Ctenophryne geayi group sp. ABGD cluster 4. RNAcentral describes it as "partial large subunit ribosomal RNA". It matches the Rfam family "Bacterial large subunit ribosomal RNA", at positions 1835 to 2457 of the family's 2925-position model. Lineage: Eukaryota; Metazoa; Chordata; Amphibia; Anura; Microhylidae. The record is from RNAcentral.